RNAcentral lists this ribosomal RNA (274 nucleotides) under uncultured bacterium. RNAcentral's name for it is "partial 16S ribosomal RNA". It matches the Rfam family "Bacterial small subunit ribosomal RNA", at positions 523 to 796 of the family's 1533-position model. The record is from RNAcentral.
AUACAGAGGGUGCGAGCGUUAAUCGGAAUUACUGGGCGUAAAGCGCGCGUAGGCGGCUGAUUAAGUCAGAUGUGAAAUCCCAGGGCUCAACCUUGGAACUGCAUCUGAUACUGGUCGGCUAGAGUUUAGGAGAGGGAAGUAGAAUUUCAGGUGUAGCGGUGAAAUGCAUAGAUAUCUGAAGGAAUACCAGUGGCGAAGGCGGCUUCCUGGCCUAAAACUGACGCUGAGGUGCGAAAGCGUGGGUAGCAAACGGGAUUAGAAACCCCGGUAGUCC